GUUCAUAAUUAUAGUAUAAGGAUG
RNAcentral lists this microRNA (24 nucleotides) under Solanum tuberosum (potato). RNAcentral's name for it is "stu-miR8028-3p". The record is from miRBase by way of RNAcentral. Lineage: Eukaryota; Viridiplantae; Streptophyta; Magnoliopsida; Solanales; Solanaceae.